Molecule: transfer RNA, 76 nt
Filed under: Clostridiales bacterium
Lineage: Bacteria; Bacillati; Bacillota; Clostridia; Eubacteriales
Also listed under: 3 other names
Description: tRNA-Thr
Rfam family: tRNA
About the family: Transfer RNA (tRNA) molecules are approximately 80 nucleotides in length. Their secondary structure includes four short double-helical elements and three loops (D, anti-codon, and T loops). Further hydrogen bonds mediate the characteristic L-shaped molecular structure. tRNAs have two regions of fundamental functional importance: the anti-codon, which is responsible for specific mRNA codon recognition, and the 3' end, to which the tRNAs corresponding amino acid is attached (by aminoacyl-tRNA synthetases). tRNAs cope with the degeneracy of the genetic code in two manners: having more than one tRNA (with a specific anti-codon) for a particular amino acid; and 'wobble' base-pairing, i.e. permitting non-standard base-pairing at the 3rd anti-codon position.
Source: RNAcentral
GCUACUGUGGCUCAGUUGGUAGAGCAGCGCAUUCGUAAUGCGCAGGUCGUCCGUUCGAGUCGGACCAGUAGCUCCA